ACGAAGGUGGCUAGCGUUGUUCGGAAUCACUGGGCUUAAAGAGCACGUAGGCGGCCUGUCAAGCGUCUUGUGAAAUCCCUCGGCUCAACCGAGGAAUGGCUGGGCGAACUGGCAGGCUUGAGGUAGGUAGGGGCGCACGGAACUCUUGGUGGAGCGGUGGAAUGCGUAGAUAUCAAGAGGAACGCCGGUGGUGAAGACGGUGCGCUGGGCCUAUCCUGACGCUCAGGUGCGAAAGCCAGGGGAGCAAACGG
This 251-nucleotide ribosomal RNA is filed under the name uncultured prokaryote. Its description in RNAcentral is "partial 16S rRNA". It matches the Rfam family "Bacterial small subunit ribosomal RNA", at positions 525 to 775 of the family's 1533-position model. The record is from RNAcentral.